This 433-nucleotide ribosomal RNA is filed under the name uncultured bacterium. RNAcentral's name for it is "partial 16S ribosomal RNA". It matches the Rfam family "Bacterial small subunit ribosomal RNA", at positions 29 to 507 of the family's 1533-position model. The record is from RNAcentral.
AACGAACGCUGGCGGCAGGCCUAACACAUGCAAGUCGAGCGAGGACUUCGGUUCUAGCGGCGGACGGGUGAGUAACGCGUGGGAAUGUGCCCUUCUCUACGGAAUAGCCCUGGGAAACUGGGAGUAAUACCGUAUACGCCCUUUUGGGGAAAGAUUUAUCGGAGAAGGAUCAGCCCGCGUUGGAUUAGGUAGUUGGUGGGGUAAUGGCCUACCAAGCCGACGAUCCAUAGCUGGUUUGAGAGGAUGAUCAGCCACACUGGGAUUGAGACACGGCCCAGACUCCUACGGGAGGCAGCAGUGGGGAAUCUUAGACAAUGGGGGCAACCCUGAUCGAGCCAUGCCGCGUGAGUGAUGAAGGCCUUAGGGUUGUAAAGCUCUUUCAGCUGGGAAGAUAAUGACGGUACCAGCAGAAGAAGCCCCGGCUAACUCCGUG